RNAcentral lists this transfer RNA (73 nucleotides) under Streptomyces sp. DJ. It matches the Rfam family "tRNA". From Rfam's summary of the family: Transfer RNA (tRNA) molecules are approximately 80 nucleotides in length. Their secondary structure includes four short double-helical elements and three loops (D, anti-codon, and T loops). Lineage: Bacteria; Bacillati; Actinomycetota; Actinomycetes; Kitasatosporales; Streptomycetaceae. RNAcentral also lists the same sequence under 5 other names. The record is from Rfam by way of RNAcentral.
UCCUGCGUAGCUCAAUUGGCAGAGCAGCCGGCUGUUAACCGGCAGGUUACUGGUUCGAGUCCAGUCGCAGGAG